UGUCACGCCCCGGGGUCCCUUUUAGGUUAAAACACAGCGAAAUUUUUUUUUUUUUUUUUUUUUGGAAACCUGACCCCAGGGUAUGCCAGAUCCGCCACAAAUACAGGGAAUCCACUGCUCACGCGGACAGAGUCUCCCCUGUAUUUGCACGGCGUCGCACAAGUACAAGAGUAUAGCCAGGAAACAACCACAACCAAAUGAAUAUAAAGAUACCUAUACAUUCAUACAUUCACCAUUCACAUCACAGUUUUACAUUCAAUGUUUAAAUAGAAAUCCACGAAAAAUUCUUUUGAAAACUGUUUCCUACACGGAAACCUUUAUUCUUUAAAAACGCUACCACGAGGGGUAGAAAACCUUUUAUUUUACAAAAUCCAGAAAUCCACAUUUUCAAAUGUAAACAAACACUGAACCACAUGAACCAACUAAACUAUACAUCAACCGAAGUAAGAAGGGUAAGAAACUAAACCGAAAUAACCUGGGUCGGAAGCUCUAUCGACCGCUACACGCGUACCUCACGCCUCGUCUCAACCCUCACCGCCCGCGAUACCUGAAAAAUGGUGGGGGAGGUGAGAACAUGUAAACAUGUCUCCCCUCCCAGUGGGUACCGCAAGCCGAUGAAGGCGAGGAGUGCUCACCAGAUCAGGAAGAGCUAUACAACAACACGGGUCAGUGGAAAUAUAGUAGCAACAACAAUAAACGAAAGAGAUAUGUAAGGAGCUGACAAGCAUAGAUGCAGGUAAAUAAAACAGUAGCUACAAUAAACAGAUAAGGAUGUACUGGAAAUAAACACUACAGCUACUGUAUGCAUGCGUCAACUGACGAUAAGCUCAAAAGUACCCAAUCUCGCUGCCCUACUGGUCCGAAGACCUCAAGCCCAUGCCACACUGCUCAACCUGCACCUGACUCUCGCAAUGAAGCCCCUGGGUCAGAAGCAUAGUACCUGACCCUCGCAAUGAAGCCCCUGGGUCAGAAGCAUAUACCCUCGCAAUAAAGCCCCUGGGCUCACGGGUUGGCAAUCCAAUCACUUUUCCGGAAAAGAACACCCUCUUGCGGUGGAUCAGACCGCUGGUGUUCGUGAAAUGCGUACCUGCAGUGGCGAUCAAUGUAGUAUGCUCAAAGAUCAUCCAUCGGCAACUAGCCGACAAUCCAGCCCCUCAGGGCACGCCGACCGUAUAGGCCAUCAGCAACUAAUCGGCUACGUAAGUCAAGAUAGAACUGUAGCAACUUGACCGAAUAGGUCAUAGAUAUCAAAAUAGGGAACCGCCCAACCAAAUCACAGAUAUAGUGAACAGAUAAGUCAACUCUACUCCUAAGUAUGAUAUCAACAAGGAAAUAACUGAGUAGAGGAAUGCAGAACAGACCAAUUAGGUCAACAGAAACGGAAUGCACAACAGACCAACUAGGUCAACAGAUACGGAUGCGGAUAGAACCACUCUACUCCUAUUCAGGAUACUAAGCAUGCAAACAACGAGUAGAGUAUAAUCAAACAACGUGGGUGUAAUGUAAUCAAUAGAGGUGCAAAGCUUAACAUAUAACAUAUGCAUGGAUAAUAAACAAAGGAGCAAGGGUAAGAAACCAUUACCGAGCGUGCACCACUGUACCGACGUCGGAUCGAAGUACCCACCUGUACAACUGUCGCGCCUGUCUCCUGACUGCAAAAGAACGUCAACAGGACCUAAGGAGGGUCCACUGGGUUAGUGUCUAACCCAUAGCUAAGAAACCCUAAAAGCAUAAACCCACAAAUAAACCCACGAGAAUCGGUUUCCCAAACCGAUCGUCGUAAUACGCCGGAAGUCCCGAAAACCACACCGGGACGCCGUCGGGACCCACUAAGUGUCCCGAAACUCACCGACUCUUGUCACGAGUCACCUACUGCCCUAAAACACUCCAAUUUGGAUGUUUUGGCAGCAAACACAAGAUAACACCACUACACAAUUAUCGCCGGAUAAUUGUACGAACACGGGUUCCCGGAAGUGUCAAAUUCGACACCGGAACCCACCGUCGCUCACCCGUCAUCACCGAACCCACAAAGUGAUGAUGGUGACCAGCCAACAAGGCUUAGCGACCACUCACAGAGCAACCAAACGACGUCGGAAGAAAUCCGAACCGAAACCGCGUUCUUUCGGCGAAUUUCGCCGAAAAACGCAUCGAAAUCGACUCUUCGAUUUCUGCAAAAGCUAACGGAUCAUGGACAAUCAGUCCAGAGGACACGACACAUGUCUACACACUGUCCACAGUAGCCCCAAGGCUCACAAUUGCACAAAAGCCCCUGAAUUUACAUAAAAUCCCAAUAUUUUAUGUAAAUCGGGCGAUAACAUAGCCCGUACACGCAAACCGAGGACUUCUAAGUUCUGCUGAGACACAUACUGAUAGGUCUCGACGUACCGGAGGCCGUGCUCAUGGUCUGGAGCGCAACAGGUCACUGUGGGAAGCGCGGGAGCAACCCGAAGGUUCAGCGAACAGCGCGCAGUCGGGGAAGAUUGCUCCAAACAGGGCUAACCGGACACUGUUGAUCCAAAGUGAGGUGAGCACUGUGAUCAGAACUGACCCACGAUCACCGUGCUCACCUCCGGAGGCAUCAGGACAGCCUCGGAUCGCCGGAUAAGCGUGCGCAAACCCAAAACAGCAGCCAAACAGGCUCGACAGGGUCGACACUGCCGAAACAGCGGAACGGAGUCUCCCCGGCAGAAUCUAAGGUGAGCACGAUGAUCAGCAAUUUUCUACGAUCAUCGUGCUCCCUUUCGCAGAGAUCGGGGAGGCUCAGGAAGCUCAGAACAGUAAACCAUCCCAAACUAAGCCCUAUUUCGGGCUUGGCCGGAGCAAGGUUGCUCCGGCCGGCCUCCGGCGGCACGGCGGCGCGCGUGGGGGCCAGGGAUGGGUGCGGGGGAGGUGAGGAACACGAUGCUCACCUCCGUUGGCAGCGAGGUGCGGCGGCGGCGUCGGCGGAGCAAGGCAUGCCCGCACGAGCCAGGGCACGGGUCCGAGGGGUGUUGCGGCCACGGCGACGGCCGGGGUAGGUCGGGGACGACGGCGGCAGGUCCACAGAGGCCGGAGGAGGAGGAGGAAGGCGGCGGGCGACAGCGGCGGCGGCCCGCGGCUCGGGCGUUGCCGCUCGAGCUAGGCUCGGUCUGCAGGCCUAGGCGGCGGCGCCCAAGGUUCAGGGCGGCGGCGGCGAUCCGAAGGGCGGCGGCGACCGGCCGGGAAAGUCGGUGGGACACAGGAGAAGGCCGCGGGUGUGGACCAAGGCGGCUGCGGCGCUGGGGUGGAGUUACCAAGUCUGGUCGGUCCGAGCAGACCUGGGAUGGCUGCAGGGUGGUCGCGGCGGCUGCGGCGGCCCGCAGGAGCGCCGGCGACCCGCCGGGGUGGUCGCCGAGGGUCCGGGGAUGGCGGCCGGAACGGGUGCAGGCGGUGACUGCGCGCGGGGAGGCCGCGAGUCAUCCUCGACCUAAGCUCGGCCUAGGCAACAGCCGGGUGCAGCAGCGGCCGCGGCGGCGCUUGGCGACGGCGGCGGUCGGCGGGGAUGCUCGCCGGAGCACGGGGCGACACCGGCGGAGGGUCUGGAGGUGGCGGCAGUCUCGGGCUUCCUCACAACCCGAGAUAAGAGAGAGGGAGAGAGAGAUAGAGAUGGAGAGGGAGAGAAAGUGGAGGGGGAAGCCGGGGAGGUCCCUCCGGCGACCGCAGCGGCUUGCCGGCGGCCAAGACGCGCGCAUGGGGUGGGCAGGGAGGAGGUGAAGCGGUUAGGAGGCUAGGGUUUUCUCGGAAUGGUGUAGGGUUAGGGUUUCACAUGAAAACCCUAACUCUUUUAGCCUUAUACUAGAGACAAAUUGCAAGUAAGUCCUCCAAAACUCAAAAUUUCAUAACGAGUCCUCCACAGCGCAUGUAAAAACGCGAGAAUACCCCUCCAUGUACGAUCCCACGCAAAACGGCACAUAAAAUAUCGCAUCUUUUGCGAAAUUACAAUUUUGCCAACACCGACCUCUCUUCGAUCAACGUGCGAUCUCCGCAGAUCCGUCCAUCGGAUUUGCGAACGGAUCACACCAGUGCGAUCAGCACCUCGAAGAUAGCAAAGCUACGAUUUUUGGUUCACCUCGAUCGACCACAGAUUCGCGACGAAAUCCAUCCUCUUUCCAAAAGGCCACAAUGACGCACAAUUACAUAAGAAACAUGUAUUUUCAGAUUUUCUCGAAAUCCGUGCGUCAAAACCAAAAUCCGUCAGCGCCAUUAGUUCCAGAAUAGCUGCAUCCUUCGAAACGAGCUAUUGGACCGCUAUUAACGGAGUCCGAUACGCACGAGAAGCCAACUCUACUCCGUGGCUUCUCCGGAAAAUCGGAGUUACUAUUCACUUAAGUGAAAACUAAAAAUCGCGUAACUUCUCCGUUUUAGCUCAUUUUCUCCUGAAACUUGACGAGUGCUUAUGUAAUUAAAUUACACACAUAAACAUCGUCAACAGAAAGUUUAGUUGCACUGUAAAAAAACUCAGUCCUUACAUUAUCCCCCCCUUAAAAGAAGUUUCGUCCCCGAAACUUGACCACAUACCCACCGAAAUCGAAUUCGGAUAUUACUUCCACCACUGUGGUAUCACCUUUGAGUAUCGGUCAAUUUCAUUUUCAUGAAUUUGGACAGAUCAAUCUUCGAAUAAGGGAGAAAAAAAAAUAGGACUGCGGUUCCACCUAGACAAAUCGAGGGAAAACGUACCAACCCAAAAUCUAUGGACCAAAGCUCACCGGUAUUAACAUCAUCCUAUAACCUGCGGACAAAGACAGUCCUGCGACUAGGAUUAUUCGAUCCCAAUUUGCCAAUUCUGAGAUAAUUAAUCAACAUUCAUAAAUUUAGGUCCAUUCUACCUUGGUCCGCACACCAGUAACUGACUCGACUACGUCGAAGGUUCACGUAGAAGAGACUCGAGUCAGCACCACUCUAAUCUAGAGUCUAUUUACGUAGAGUUGAAACGAAAAACUCCGACUAUCCAACAACGUCAACCUGCUCACCAAGAGCGAAUACGAAGCGUUGUUCUAAAACCUGAGUCAAAACUCUCACCUUGGAGACCACAGUCUUCUACCAGUAACUACACAAACUGCCAAAACCUCCAUCAAUGGAUAGUCACUUACGACAAUCUAUAGUCCUAGGUCCAAGACCUCACUUUUCACUUGACCAAAAGGUCCAACUGACGAUACCAAUUGGGCUAGACAAUUUUGUCUCCUCAAACUUAAUCCGGUACCAACAGACCACCAAAUUCUCUUGCAAGUCCAUCACUUGAUGCACAGGUCGCCAAUCGCAACUGCGAUACUAACCAUCGGUGAUGCUCAACACUGGUCUCCACAAGACCCUGUCGCUGUCGUCCUACCAUGGACCCUAGCGAUCGAUGUUCCGAGCAACACCUAGAUACCUGUCUCACUGAGACCCAGGCGCACCUGUCACCAAAUAACCGGACAAGCAAGCUAUCCCAAGGUUUGCACGAUAAGCUAAGUCGCAAAUCUUUUACGCUAUCACAUAUGAUUCUGAACCUCACGACGACAGACCAAGACUACUAUCCAAACAAACCUUUUAAUUGUGGAAGGCACAACUAAAGAGCUACGAACACCCAAACUCGAACUAGAGUCAAAAACCCCUUUAUCAGUGACGAUAAGUCCACUGUGCAAAACCUGCCAAGGAAGAACCUAAGGCUCGCUACGUGGUCAAAGAUGACUAUUACUCGAGCUUUUCCCACAAAACAGUCUAGAGAACACAUCGACCCAAUCCAGAAGUCCCCAAGCAGGAAAAAAAAAAUGGUAUUUCGUCCCUCUUUCGAUAGUAUAUUGUCUGCAGCCAAUAUACUUAUCAAAAGAAAAACGAAAUAUCCGAAGAUCCACUACCAACAACGAGUUGGAAGUACAACGCGAUAAAGUAUCAAGCCACUUGAUACCUCUCUACUGAACCAGAAGCUCACAACCAUUACUAUCGAAACAUCGACUUUACAAGUCGACAUUCGAAAUCAGAAAGACCCUGAACCGACUCACAGGGAGUCCCACAGCUUUCAACAUCUGAAAGCUACUUACGACACUAAGUCGCCAACUACACAAACUGAGGCUUCAGGAAACGAUUUUCCUAACAGAUUUCCGCACCAUAACCGAGCUAUAAUCAAAGCUCCGAGAAUUCCGACAAUAACCUGGAGUCCCUCGAAUCAAGACGAAACCUAUCACCAACCACAAAUUAACCCACAACACACCAAUUUAGGUGUUAGAACAAUCGCAUACGAUGUAUGUAUCAACGAAAACUUGACACCAGAACUGUGUCAAUCUGACUCUGGUAGAAAGAAUGAACGAGGUAAAAGUCAAAAGAUUCGAACCGCUGAUUCCAAUCAGCAAUCAAGGAGGAAAAGUAGGCAUCACAACCCUACUCAAAGAUCUGCGGAAGCAAUACUAACAAUUCAGUUGCCGAAACGACUGCUAUCCAAACCCUGGGCUACGCCCUAGUAGCCCCGCUGAAGUCACGAUCGUAACUGAUUACAGUGCCGUCUCCGUAGAGACACUCGCAACAGCUCUCGUGUCCUAAGUAGAGAGAGUGGCCUGGGCGUCGGCAGUUAUGGCACUCGCCUAGACCCGUAGAUCACUGGCCUUUCAAGGCUCCACCUGACAGGAGUGGCAACACCUGGGAAUACCGUCCCACCACUCGAUGUCCAAAAAAAGUACACCGCCACUACUCCUAACUUAGACACCAGCUUGUGCGAACCGUAACACAUACAGAAACACCAUGCACUCCGAGUUUACCCAACUCGAAUGCACACCGGGACACAAGCCCAAACCCCGCACUCACGUGCCUAUACACCGUAGGUCUUCCUAAGGGUCAACUUAACCAAUGGUUCAGUUUCAUUUACUUUUCAAAACAAUCUGUGAAUGGUGUUGUGGUUGUAACCUGGCUCUGAUACCACUUUAAUCUGUCACGCCCCAGGGUCCCUUUUAGGUUAAAACACAGCGAAAAAUUUUUUUUUUUUUUUUUUUGGAAACCUGACCCCAGGGUAUGCCAGAUCCGCCACAAAUACAAGGAAUCCACUGCUCACGCGGACAGAGUCUCCCCUGUAUUUGCAAAUGUAAACAAACACUGAACCACAUGAACCAACUAAACUAUACAUCAACCGAAGUAAGAAGGGUAAGAAACUAAACCGAAAUAACCUGGGUCGGAAGCUCUAUCGACCGCUACACGCGUACCUCACGCCUCGUCUCAACCCUCACCGCCCGCGAUACCUGAAAAAUGGUGGGGGAGGUGAGAACAUGUAAACAUGUCUCCCCUCCCAGUGGGUACCGCAAGCCGAUGAAGGCGAGGAGUACUCACCAGAUCAGGAAGAGCUAUACAACAACACGGGUCAGUGGAAAUAUAGUAGCAACAACAAUAAA
This 7370-nucleotide long non-coding RNA is filed under the name Ananas comosus (pineapple). RNAcentral describes it as "long non-coding RNA (ACOM_LNC022198)". The record is from RNAcentral. Lineage: Eukaryota; Viridiplantae; Streptophyta; Magnoliopsida; Poales; Bromeliaceae.